UUUAUUUUGAGAUGGAGUCUUGCUCUGUCACCUAGGCUGGAGUGCAGUGGUGGGAUCUCGGCUCACUGCAGCCUCUGCCUCCUGGGUUCAAGCAAUUCUGCCUCAGCCUUCCGAGUAGCUGGGAUUACAGGCGCAUGCCACAACACCCCGCUGAUUUUUGUAUUUUUAGUAGAGACAGGGUUUCACCAUGUUGGCCAGGCUGGUCUCGAACUCCUCACCUCAUGAUCCACCCGCCUUGGCCUCCCAAAGUGCUGGGAUUACAGCCAUGAGCCACUGCACCUGGCCUAUUUCUUUACCUUGUAGAUAGCAGCUUUUUAUUUAAUAAAGUCUUUUUUUUUUAGCAAAUAUAAUAGUAUGUUUUAAGUUUUUCCUACACUGUAGAAAUAGUCCUUUCGUGUGUGUGUGUGUGUGUGUGUGUGUGUGUGUGUAUAUAUAUAUAUAUAUAUAUUUUUUUUUUUUCUUUUUUUGAGACAAAGUGUCUCUGUGUCAUCCAGGCUGGAGAGCAGUGGCAUGAACACGGCUCACUGCAGCCUCAACCUCCUGGGCUCUAGUGAUCCUCUUGUCCCAGCCACUUAUGUAGCUGGGACCACAGGAGUAUGCCACCAUGCCCAGCUAAUUUUUUGAUCUUGUAGAGACAAGGUCUCACUUUGUUGUGCAAGUUGGUUUCAAACUCCUGGGCUCAAGCUAUCCUCUUGCCUCCCAAAGUGCUGGGAUUACAGGCGUGAGCCACCACAUCUAUCCCCUUUCAGAUAUCUUAAUCUUGGUAAAUUCUUUCAGUUACUAAUCUGUGAUGAACUAAUUUUUUUCUUCACAUAUAUCAACAGUUGAGGAGCUCAAGCUUGGGAAAAUGGUGUGCAUUCCUUGUAUCGUCAUUCCAGUUCUGCUCUGGAUCUACAAAAAAUUCCUGGAGCCAUAUAUAUACCCUCUGGUUUCCCCCUUCGUUAGUCGUAUAUGGCCUAAGAAAGCAAUACAAGAAUCCAAUGAUACAAACAAAGGCAAAGUAAACUUUAAGGGUGCAGACAUGAAUGGAUUACCAACAAAAGGACCAACAGAAAUCUGUGAUAAAAAGAAAGACUAAAGAAAUUUUCCUAAAGGACCCCAUCAUUUAAAAAAUGGACCUGAUAAUAUGAAGCAUCUUCCUUGUAAUUGUCUCUGACCUUUUUAUCUGAGACCGGAAUUCAGGAUAGGAGUCUAGAUAUUUACCUGAUACUAAUCAGGAAAUAUAUGAUAUCCGUAUUUAAAAUGUAGUUAGUUAUAUUUAAUGACCUCAUUCCUAAGUUCCUUUUUCGUUAAUGUAGCUUUCAUUUCUGUUAUUGCUGUUUGAAUAAUAUGAUUAAAUAGAAGGUUUGUGCCAGUAGACAUUAUGUUACUAAAUCAGCACUUUAAAAUCUUUGGUUCUCU
This 1401-nucleotide long non-coding RNA is filed under the name Homo sapiens (human). Its description in RNAcentral is "HSALNT0251127". Lineage: Eukaryota; Metazoa; Chordata; Mammalia; Primates; Hominidae. The record is from RNAcentral.